This 484-nucleotide ribosomal RNA is filed under the name uncultured bacterium. RNAcentral describes it as "partial 16S ribosomal RNA". It matches the Rfam family "Bacterial small subunit ribosomal RNA", at positions 30 to 507 of the family's 1533-position model. The record is from RNAcentral.
AUUGAACGCUGGCGGCAGGCCUAACACAUGCAAGUCGAGCGGAUGAAGGGAGCUUGCUCCUGGAUUCAGCGGCGGACGGGUGAGUAAUGCCUAGGAAUCUGCCUGGUAGUGGGGGAUAACGUCCGGAAACGGGCGCUAAUACCGCAUACGUCCUGAGGGAGAAAGUGGGGGAUCUUCGGACCUCACGCUAUCAGAUGAGCCUAGGUCGGAUUAGCAAGUUGGUGGGGUAAAGGCCUACCAAGGCGACGAUCCGUAACUGGUCUGAGAGGAUGAUCAGUCACACUGGAACUGAGACACGGUCCAGACUCCUACGGGAGGCAGCAGUGGGGAAUAUUGGACGAUGGGCGAAAGCCUGAUCCAGCCAUGCCGCGUGUUUGAAGAAGGUCUUCUGAUUGUAAAGCACUUUAAGUUGGGAGGAAGGGCAGUAAGUUAAUACCUUGCUGUUUUGACGUUACCAACAGAAUAAGCACCGGCUAACUUCGUG